ACGAACGCUGGCGGCGUGCCUAAUACCUGCAAGUUGAGCGCUGAAGGUUGGUACUUGUACCAACUGGAUGAGCAGCGAACGGGUGAGUAACGCGUGGGGAAUCUGCCUUUGAGCGGGGGACAACAUUUGGAAACGAAUGCUAAUACCGCAUAAAAACUUUAAACACAAGUUUUAAGUUUGAAAGAUGCAAUUGCAUCACUCAAAGAUGAUCCCGCGUUGUAUUAGCUAGUUGGUGAGGUAAAGGCUCACCAAGGCGAUGAUACAUAGCCGACCUGAGAGGGUGAUCGGCCACAUUGGGACUGAGACACGGCCCAAACUCCUACGGGAGGCAGCAGUAGGGAAUCUUCGGCAAUGGACGAAAGUCUGACCGAGCAACGCCGCGUGAGUGAAGAAGGUUUUCGGAUCGUAAAACUCUGUUGGUAGAGAAGAACGUUGGUGAGAGUGGAAAGCUCAUCAAGUGACGGUAACUACCCAGAAAGGGACGGCUAACUACGUG
RNAcentral lists this ribosomal RNA (496 nucleotides) under uncultured bacterium. RNAcentral's name for it is "partial 16S ribosomal RNA". It matches the Rfam family "Bacterial small subunit ribosomal RNA", at positions 29 to 507 of the family's 1533-position model. The record is from RNAcentral.